RNAcentral lists this unclassified non-coding RNA (332 nucleotides) under soil metagenome. RNAcentral's name for it is "partial contains 5.8S ribosomal RNA, internal transcribed spacer 2, and large subunit ribosomal RNA". The stretch from base 1 to 120 matches the Rfam family "5.8S ribosomal RNA", at positions 35 to 154 of the family's 154-position model. The record is from RNAcentral.
GAUGAAGAACGUAGCGAAAUGCGAUAAGUAGUGUGAAUUGCAGAAUUCAGUGAAUCAUCGAAUCUUUGAACGCAUAUUGCGCCCUUUGGUAUUCCUUAGGGCAUGCCUGUUCGAGCGUCAUUUAAACCUUCAAGCUAAGCUUGGUGUUGGGUGACUGUCCGCUUCACGGCGGACUCGCCUCAAAAUUAUUGGCGGCCGGUACAUUGGCUUCGAGCGCAGCAGAAACGCGAACUCGGGCCCGUCGUAUUGGCUCCCAGAAGCUAUCUUCACAAUUUUGACCUCGGAUCAGGUAGGGAUACCCGCUGAACUUAAGCAUAUCAAUAAGCGGAGGA